This 465-nucleotide ribosomal RNA is filed under the name Vreelandella stevensii. RNAcentral describes it as "partial 16S ribosomal RNA". It matches the Rfam family "Bacterial small subunit ribosomal RNA", at positions 338 to 795 of the family's 1533-position model. The record is from RNAcentral. Lineage: Bacteria; Pseudomonadati; Pseudomonadota; Gammaproteobacteria; Oceanospirillales; Halomonadaceae.
CCUACGGGUGGCUGCAGUGGGGAAUAUUGGACAAUGGGGGGAACCCUGAUCCAGCCAUGCCGCGUGUGUGAAGAAGGCCCUCGGGUUGUAAAGCACUUUCAGUGAGGAAGAACGCCUGGUGGUUAAUACCCAUCAGGAAAGACAUCACUCACAGAAGAAGCACCGGCUAACUCCGUGCCAGCAGCCGCGGUAAUACGGAGGGUGCGAGCGUUAAUCGGAAUUACUGGGCGUAAAGCGCGCGUAGGUGGCUGGAUAAGCCGGUUGUGAAAGCCCCGGGCUCAACCUGGGAACGGCAUCCGGAACUGUCAAGCUAGAGUGCAGGAGAGGAAGGUAGAAUUCCCGGUGUAGCGGUGAAAUGCGUAGAGAUCGGGAGGAAUACCAGUGGCGAAGGCGGCCUUCUGGACUGACACUGACACUGAGGUGCGAAAGCGUGGGUAGCAAACAGGAUUAGAUACCCCGGUAGUC